This 537-nucleotide ribosomal RNA is filed under the name Chirodropidae sp. BB-2009. Its description in RNAcentral is "partial 16S ribosomal RNA". It matches the Rfam family "Bacterial large subunit ribosomal RNA", at positions 1940 to 2617 of the family's 2925-position model. The record is from RNAcentral. Lineage: Eukaryota; Metazoa; Cnidaria; Cubozoa; Chirodropida; Chirodropidae.
CUCUGACCGUGCUAAGGUAGCAUAAUCAAUCGCCAUGUAAUUUAUGGCUAGAAUGAACGGCUUUACAAGUCCUCCUCUGUCUCAGCUUUACCCCUACUGAAAUUAAAUAUGUUGUGAAGAUGCAACUUACUCUUGGAAGGACGAGAAGACCCCGUUGAGCUUAACUCCUGUUCCCCCACCUUUAAACUUAAACCCUAGGGAGCAGCAGGUACUUGGAGGAAAAGGAGUUUGGUUGGGGCGACCACCUAAACAGAAGCAACUUAGGUAAACCAAGGUUAACAAUCAAUAUAGUAAGCCUAACUAAUAGACUGAUAAGUUAGUUAGAUAGUAGUUACAGGUAAGUUAUAGCGACCCUCCAUCAUAAGGAGAAAUUAGAUAAAAGUUACCACGGGGAUAACAGGGUUAUCUAGCCGCAAAGUUCAUAUUGAAAGCUAGGUUUGCCACCUCGAUGUUGAAUAGCAGUGUCCUAGGGGUGCAGCAGCUCCUAAGGGUUGGUCUGUUCGACCAUUAAAACCUUACAUGAUUUGAGUUCAUUCC